This 216-nucleotide ribosomal RNA is filed under the name Glomeromycotina sp. RNAcentral describes it as "partial small subunit ribosomal RNA". The stretch from base 40 to 216 matches the Rfam family "Eukaryotic small subunit ribosomal RNA", at positions 686 to 864 of the family's 1831-position model. The record is from RNAcentral. Lineage: Eukaryota; Fungi; Glomeromycota.
GGGUCAGUAGGUUGGUCGUGCCACCGGUACGUACUGGUCUCACUGAUUCCUCCUUCCUGAAGAACCGUAAUGCCAUUAAUUUGGUGUUGCGGGGAAACAGGACUGUUACUUCGAAAAAUUUAGAGUGUUUAAAGCAAGCUAACGCUUGAAUACAUUAGCAUGGAAUAAUGAAAUAGGACGAUCGAUCCUAUUUUGUUGGUUUCUAGGAUUGACGUA